Long non-coding RNA from Micropterus dolomieu (smallmouth bass), 2102 nucleotides. RefSeq lists it as uncharacterized. The record is from RefSeq and is a predicted model, not a curated record. NCBI's taxonomy places the organism in Eukaryota, Metazoa, Chordata, Actinopteri, Centrarchiformes, Centrarchidae. The transcript has 3 exons.
CUCACGUUUCCUUGAUGACUUUUCCCAGACACUUAAUUACACUUUUGUGGUUUUGCUUUCUAAUUUCAACCAAUUUAUGGCUUUUAGGUACACGAGAUGAUUAUGUAAUGACAGAAGUAAAAAAAAAAAGUGUUGUCAGGCCUCCUGUAGCUCCUGGGGUUUGAUUAAGGAGCCAUCUGUCCUGUUUGAUUUAAGAUUAAGAACUCCUCCAUCUGAUGUCUUCAGUCUUGAUUAGAUUCUGGAUUAUAUCUGAGACGGAACAUGAAGUUCACAACAAAGAUUAUGUGUUUUUCUUUCCCAGUCAGGGGGGUUGUUUAACAAUAAUCAUACAAUAAUUACAUUUCUUAAAAAAUUUCUUUACAAAAUACUGACUCAUAACACUCUUUUUUUCUGCAUACUGUAAAUAAAUGUGAAUUAUGCACAUUGCAUGGGUGAACAACGUUUGUAAAGCCUACAUCUAAAUCAACUUUAUCUUCUGUAACAAAGCGGCUGAAGAGGAUUAUGCUACUGUUGCCACAGAAACUUAGUGACCAGUGGAAAGAGAGAGUGUGUGAGUGGGGGGUGUCCAUGAAGAGGGUAGAAGCAGACGGAGAGGCGAUUCAAUCAGACGUACAGACAACCCUUCGCCCCCACACAGCAGACGGGUUUUAUUGAGGUGACACAGAUUCCUAAAGAGUCCAACAAGUCUGCCACCAUGCUGCACCCUUUAAUCAUCGGCAUUGUGACCGCAAACACCUCUCUGACCGUAUUCUAUUGGAUUUUCAUCCUGGGCGAUGCCUACUUCAGGUGGCUGGACGAGCCAGAAGACAAACCCCAGAAGGUGGUCACCGCAGCCUGAGGGAGACACAGUCAAUAUGGACUGACUGAAUGACUGUGUGUCAUUCCUUUUUGCUUAGAUCUAGUCAGAAACAGCGGUUCAUCUGGUAGUGCUUUCUGUUGAGUCUGCUUUUGCAUUCAAUCUGCUUUUUGUAUUGCAUGGAGAAGAUUUGGAAACCCCUUUUGGUUAACUUACCUUUUUUUUUACUUAACUGAAUUGAUCCUGCAAGUGAAUGAGGAGGGAGUCAUUCUUACAGAGCCGACUGAGCACUGCACGCACCCAUUUGGAAGUCCUUUCAUUCACAAGUCACAGAAAAGAGCUGAGGAGUUUCAAGUCUUGAUUACAAGACUGGAUUCUUGGGCCCAAACCAGUGGAAGAUGAUUCAGAGGAAGGGAGAACAGAAAUAGAAGAAGAGCGGCGACAGAGCGUUUCCAGUAAGCUGAUGGAGAAAGACAAGCUGGAGAUAGAGAAGGAAAAGGCUGGGCCGCUGCCUGGUUUCAACCGGGAAAGCGGAGGCUGCCGCCGUCCAUCCACCCCUCCCCCACUGAAAAGCGCCAUCGCUUCAUCAUACCCUGGAGAAAAAAGAACAUCUAUUCAUAGUGUGACAUUCGCCUGCCCCAUGACCCCUUAUGCCACUUCACUUUGAUUUUUGCAACAUUGCUUUUUUUUUUACAGCAGUGGUUCAGAUUAGUUUUUGUCCUCUAUGUCAUUUCAGUGCAGUGAUCAGUGUUGUCGCUUUGCUGUAGUGAUGCAUAAGCUAAGGCAAUUUUGUUUUAUUUACAACACACUUGUAGUUUGUAGUGAUUUUGCUAAGAAACAAAUGCUUACUUUGGUUGCUUAUUAAAAUUGUAUAUAAACGUGGUCCAUAUUGUCACUCAUUCAAAAUACAUUGCACUACAUUAUUGUUUGCUGCCCAAACAAUUUCUCAUGCUAAAAACAUAAAUGAUGUACAAUGUGAACAAAGAUAUUAAUGUGGGCCGUCAAAAAUUACAUCCUAUUUUAAUAGCUGACAUUUAUAUCUGAAAGUAUACAACUUUAAAACACGUUUCAAUGAAAAUGUCAGAUUUGCCAAGAAAGUUUUGUAAAACUGCAUAUAAGUUGCCAUUUCUGUACAUUUUCCUCACUGACCAGGCAAACUGUCAUACUGUUAACAUGCUGUAAUUAACCCACUAUGUGACACAUGUUGCUGAAAUGUAUCGCUGAAGAAAAAAAUCAUGUCAUUUUCCCUGUUCCCUGUUCUUGUGUUGGACUAAGCUUCUCUCCAGUAAACAAAUGGAUAAUACAA